This 520-nucleotide ribosomal RNA is filed under the name Bacillus subtilis. RNAcentral's name for it is "bacterial SSU rRNA". It matches the Rfam family "Bacterial small subunit ribosomal RNA", at positions 565 to 1083 of the family's 1533-position model. Lineage: Bacteria; Bacillati; Bacillota; Bacilli; Caryophanales; Bacillaceae. The record is from RNAcentral.
GGGCUCGCAGGCGGUUUCUUAAGUCUGAUGUGAAAGCCCCCGGCUCAACCGGGGAGGGUCAUUGGAAACUGGGAAACUUGAGUGCAGAAGAGGAGAGUGGAAUUCCACGUGUAGCGGUGAAAUGCGUAGAGAUGUGGAGGAACACCAGUGGCGAAGGCGACUCUCUGGUCUGUAACUGACGCUGAGGAGCGAAAGCGUGGGGAGCGAACAGGAUUAGAUACCCUGGUAGUCCACGCCGUAAACGAUGACUGCUAGGUGUUAGGGGGUUUCCGCCCCUUAUUGCUGCACCUAACGCAUUAAGCACUCCGCCGGGGGAGUACGGUCGCAAGACUGAAACUCAAAGGAAUUGACGGGGGCCCGCACAAGCGGUGGAGCAGGUGGUUUAAUUCAAACCAACGCGAAAAACCUUACCACGCCUUGACAUCCUCUGACUACCCUAAAGAUAGGGCUUUCCCUUCGGAGACCGAAUGACAGGUGGUGCAUGGUUGUCGUCAGCUCGUGUCGUGAGAUGUUGGGUUAA